GCCCGUGUGGCGAAAUUGGUAGACGCGCUACUUUGAGGGGGUAGUUUCCUACGGAUGUGCUGGUUCGAGUCCAGUCGCGGGCA
Molecule: transfer RNA, 83 nt
Filed under: Saprospiraceae bacterium
Lineage: Bacteria; Pseudomonadati; Bacteroidota; Saprospiria; Saprospirales; Saprospiraceae
Description: tRNA-Leu
Rfam family: tRNA
About the family: Transfer RNA (tRNA) molecules are approximately 80 nucleotides in length. Their secondary structure includes four short double-helical elements and three loops (D, anti-codon, and T loops).
Source: RNAcentral